Molecule: transfer RNA, 77 nt
Filed under: Rudaea sp.
Lineage: Bacteria; Pseudomonadati; Pseudomonadota; Gammaproteobacteria; Lysobacterales; Rhodanobacteraceae
Description: tRNA-Arg
Rfam family: tRNA
About the family: Transfer RNA (tRNA) molecules are approximately 80 nucleotides in length. Their secondary structure includes four short double-helical elements and three loops (D, anti-codon, and T loops).
Source: RNAcentral
GCGCCCGUAGCUCAGUUGGAUAGAGUACCAGCUUCCGAAGCUGGGUGUCGGGGGUUCGAAUCCCUCCGGGCGCGCCA